UCGGUGAAACUAGUUUGCCGCCUCCACUCCUUACCCCCUAAGAUCCAAACUCGAGAGGGAAACAACCCAAAUCGUACACUAAGGUCCCUAAGCAAUCACUUAGUGGAAAAUGAAAUGAUCGGGCGAUGAUAACUAGGAGAUGGGCUUGGAAGCAGCCAUCCUUUGAAGAAAGCGUAAUAGCUCACUGGUCUAGCUCCAUGGCACCGAAAAUGUAUUAGGGCUCAAGCGAUUCACCGAAGCGACAAGACCUUUUAGAUUUUAUAUACUAAAUGA
Molecule: long non-coding RNA, 273 nt
Filed under: Helianthus annuus (common sunflower)
Lineage: Eukaryota; Viridiplantae; Streptophyta; Magnoliopsida; Asterales; Asteraceae
Description: Bacterial large subunit ribosomal RNA
Rfam family: Bacterial large subunit ribosomal RNA
Source: RNAcentral